GCUGCCUCCGCGGGCCGCCGGCGGGCGUCGGUACUGCGGCAUCGGGCGGAGCGCGGGGCUGCGUGCCGGGAGCGGCGGGAGGGCAGCGUCCGCCUGCUGCUGGGCGGCGGGGCCGCUGCGAGAGGGCCGCGGGAAGAGCGCGGGGCUGCGGCGAUGGACUGAGGCGGCGGGGGCUGCCGGCCCGGCGCCGAGAAUGAAAAGGGGCUUCUGCGGGGGGAAGGAAUAGAUGUCAUCUUGAAACGAACGGCGGUGGUGUUGCUCGGUGAUGGAAGGGAUGGUCGUCACCGUGAGGCUGGAAGCUCUUACCCAAAAGCACAGAUCCCUGUCCUUGGGUAGAGGACACCGUUCCAGUGUCGGCCUACAUGUACAGAAGAGUGAAAUUCCAGUCUUCAGGAAGCCAGUGACAAGUGAAAUCAAGAGAAAACAUCUCAGAUAUGUGGGGUAUUUAGGAUAAAAUCUCCUUUCUUCUACUACUAAAGCACGGACUUGCAUUUUCAAAGAACUGCACUCCUGUGUGCAUAUGCACGCCCUCAGAAAGGCAGAUUGAUUCCAUGUGAGGCCGCAGAUUUCAUUCUGGCAGUGGGCCUUACGGAGGUGAAUAAAUUCUGCUGUGUGAAGAAUGUGCCACCUCGUCUGAGGAUUAUGUUCUCGUAACUUCACUGACCGCUGGUGACAGAGCUGGCUCUUUGGGAGGCACUGCUGCCUUGCAAUCAGAUGUAUCAGGCUUUCGGUGCAGCUUGGUGUUUCAGCUACAGGCCUUGGGCUUGAUUUAACUACGGUACUCUAAAAAUAACUAGAAAAAUAGUUCUGGAGGAGUGAAGUGAAAGUGUUCUGGAUGUCUCGGUUUGGAUUACACGUUAAUGGAAAAGGUACAUUAGAUAUUAAGAAAUCUAGACUGAAGCAGAAAGAAGAAAUGUGUCCCUUCUUCUUAGGGGAAUCUACCUGCUGAGAUGUGGGGAAGGGGAUAAGCAGAGGGAUAAGGAUAACAGAAAAUUCAGUGGACAAUAAAAGCUUAAAUCCUUAAACGGUGAAGUCAGCUUUUCCUCUCCAACUUAAGCAGAUAAUGAUUUUGACAGCAGAUAGAGCCUUGGUUGAUACGUAGCAAUGAGGUAACAUAAAGGAAUUGUAUCUCNAACCAAAGCCCUUCAAAAUAAAAAUAUUGGCAUAAUUAGAAAUGCUAUUAUUGGCUUUAUUUUUAUUUUUAAAAAGGUUAAAUUUCAUUCCUUGUGAUCCCCCAUAUAUCCAAAAUAAAACCACAUUCAUCAAUAGUUACAAUAGAUUCACUCCAGUCUACUUAAGAGGAGAAUUUAACCUAUAAUUUUUAUUAUAUU
This 1331-nucleotide long non-coding RNA is filed under the name Pavo cristatus (Indian peafowl). Its description in RNAcentral is "lncRNA (ENSPSTG00000019246.1)". Lineage: Eukaryota; Metazoa; Chordata; Aves; Galliformes; Phasianidae. The record is from RNAcentral.